Molecule: ribosomal RNA, 478 nt
Filed under: uncultured bacterium
Lineage: Bacteria
Description: partial 16S ribosomal RNA
Rfam family: Bacterial small subunit ribosomal RNA
Source: RNAcentral
GAUGAACGCUGGCGGCGUGCUUAACACAUGCAAGUCGAACGGGAAACCUUUUAAUGAAGCUUCGGCAGAUUUAGCUGGUUUCUAGUGGCGGACGGGUGAGUAACGCGUGGGUAACCUGCCUUAUACAGGGGGAUAACAGUCAGAAAUGACUGCUAAUACCGCAUAAGCGCACAGGACCGCAUGGUCCGGUGUGAAAAACUCCGGUGGUAUAAGAUGGACCCGCGUUGGAUUAGCUUGUUGGUGGGGUAACGGCUCACCAAGGCGACGAUCCAUAGCCGGCCUGAGAGGGUGAACGGCCACAUUGGGACUGAGACACGGCCCAGACUCCUACGGGAGGCAGCAGUGGGGAAUAUUGCACAAUGGGGGAAACCCUGAUGCAGCGACGCCGCGCGAAGGAAGAAGUAUCUCGGUAUGUAAACUUCUAUCAGCAGGGAAGAUAGUGACGGUACCUGACUAAGAAGCCCCGGCUAACUACGUG